GUGCCAGCCGCCGCGGUAAUACGGAGGGCGCAAGCGUUGUUCGGAAUCACUGGGCGUAAAGCGCGUGUAGGCGGCUUGGUAAGUCGGGUGUGAAAGCCCGGGGCUCAACCCCGGAACUGCACUCGAAACUGCCUCGCUCGAGUCCCGGAGAGGGUGGUGGAAUUCCCGGUGUAGAGGUGAAAUUCGUAGAUAUCGGGAGGAACACCAGUGGCGAAGGCGGCCACCUGGACGGUGACUGACGCUGAGACGCGAAAGCGUGGGGAGCAAACAGGAUUAGAUACCCUCGUAGUCC
This 292-nucleotide ribosomal RNA is filed under the name uncultured bacterium. RNAcentral's name for it is "partial 16S ribosomal RNA". It matches the Rfam family "Bacterial small subunit ribosomal RNA", at positions 505 to 796 of the family's 1533-position model. The record is from RNAcentral.